Molecule: long non-coding RNA, 137 nt
Organism: Haliotis rubra (blacklip abalone)
Lineage: Eukaryota; Metazoa; Mollusca; Gastropoda; Lepetellida; Haliotidae
Exons: 2
Source: RefSeq, a predicted model, not a curated record
AUCUUAAGCAUUAUGGUUACAUUAUAAAGAUGUAUUAGCUAACAAACUCUACAGAGUUUUUGCUAUUAUAUAUUUAGCUUAAGUUUAAUCAUAUCUUAAGCUCCAGGUUACUAUGUUUAUAUCAGCAAAAGUAUUUU